This 253-nucleotide ribosomal RNA is filed under the name uncultured bacterium. RNAcentral describes it as "partial 16S ribosomal RNA". It matches the Rfam family "Bacterial small subunit ribosomal RNA", at positions 524 to 776 of the family's 1533-position model. The record is from RNAcentral.
UAUAGAGGGGGCAAGCGUUGUUCGGAAUUACUGGGCGUAAAGGGCGCGUAGGCGGCCUGUUAAGUCGAACGUGAAAUCCCCGGGCUCAACCCGGGAACUGCGUCCGAUACUGGCAGGCUUGAAUCCGGGAGAGGGAUGCGGAAUUCCAGGUGUAGCGGUGAAAUGCGUAGAUAUCUGGAGGAACACCGGUGGCGAAGGCGGCAUCCUGGACCGGCAUUGACGCUGAGGCGCGAAAGCCAGGGGAGCAAACGGG